RNAcentral lists this ribosomal RNA (406 nucleotides) under uncultured bacterium. Its description in RNAcentral is "partial 16S ribosomal RNA". It matches the Rfam family "Bacterial small subunit ribosomal RNA", at positions 30 to 526 of the family's 1533-position model. The record is from RNAcentral.
AUUGAACGCUGGCGGCAGGCCUAACACAUGCAAGUCGAACGAGUGGCGGACGGGUGAGUAAUGUCUGGGAAACUGCCUGAUCGAGGGGGAUAACUCCUGGAAACGGUAGCUAAUACCGCAUACCAUCGGAUGUGCCCAUAUGGGAUUAGCUAGUAGGUGGGGUAACGGCUCACCUAGGCGACGAUCCCUAGCUGGUCUGAGAGGAUGACCAGCCACACUGGAACUGAGACACGGUCCAGACUCCUACGGGAGGCAGCAGUGGGGAAUAUUGCACAAUGGGCGCAAGCCUGAUGCAGCCAUGCCGCGUGUGUGAAGAAGGCCUUCGGGUUGUAAAGUACUUUCAGCGGGGAGGCGGUACCCGAAGAAGAAGCACCGGCUAACUCCGUGUCAGCAGCCGCGGUAAUAC